Herpailurus yagouaroundi (jaguarundi) is the source of this 916-nucleotide long non-coding RNA. RefSeq lists it as uncharacterized. Lineage: Eukaryota; Metazoa; Chordata; Mammalia; Carnivora; Felidae. The record is from RefSeq and is a predicted model, not a curated record. The transcript is spliced from 2 exons.
ACCCACGGAGCACAAGAUCAUGACCCGAGCCGAAGUGGGACGCUCAACCGACUGAGCCACCAGGCGCCCCAAAGUGUUUUUUUUUAAAGAAAGGAUUUUCUACCUGGAAUGCCCUCCUUCCCUUGACUCAUUCUUUGCAAUGAGUUCAGCUCAACAUCACCCCUCCUCUGAAUGCUGUCCCAGUGCUUUUCACAUCCAGUGACUUCCUUGUUCUGUGUGCUGCACUUGAGAAGGGACUCAGGGCCCUGACUCCAACCUGGAAAUAGAAAGGGAAGGUUAUGAUGCCCAUUGCUCUUGGCCAUGCUGGAGGGGUAGCCAUUGAUUUCUACGCCUACACCCCCCCUGGGCCAUCCCCUAGAAUGGUGCCUGCGCCAUUGUUGGCCCAUAAUGAAUAUGCUGAAUAACAGACAUAAAAAAUUGCUCAAGCCAUUUGGAUUCUCCCAGGUGGAAAAUACAUUAGAUUUAUAAAGGUUUUUUUUAAUUUUUUUCCCCAUUUUUUUCUGUUGAUGAUAUUUCUAACCUCUUAGCACAACUUUGACGUGUAGUAGAGCGGACAUGUAUGGUUUUCCUUCACCAAGCCAGAGCAAUGACAAUAUUGCGUUCCCUGCAUGCGUGGACCCCCCCCCUCCAAGUCAAUGAAUGUGACACUUCUGCUCUAUGUGAACUAUAGAUAAAGCAAUAUUGUUCUCCACCAGACGGUUCUAAGCUGGUUGGAUACAAACCCAGAGCAGCCUGCGGCCUCCGUGCCACCCUGUGGGAAGGACCUAACUAAGAAGAAAUUUCAAAAAGAAGAAGGCACAACAAGAGAUGGAGAGACUGUCUCUUUGGCUUGAGAUGUAGCGUCAACCAUGCCUGAAGCUAAGUUCUGCCUGGACUUUCCAGUCUUGAGAGGCAAUAAAUUUCCCUUGUCACGUAA